GUUGAAGAACGUAGCGAAAUGCGAUAAGUAGUGUGAAUUGCAGAAUUCAGUGAAUCAUCGAAUCUUUGAACGCACAUUGCGCCCCAUGGUAUUCCGUGGGGCAUGCCUGUUCGAGCGUCAUUUACCCCCUCAAGCUCCGCUUGGUGUUGGGCGUCUGUCCCGCUUCGCGCGCGGACUCGCCCCAAAGGUAUUGGCAGCGGUCGUGCCAGCUUCUCGCGCAGCACAUUGCGCUUCUCGAGGCACCGGUGGGCCCGCGUCCAUCAAGCUCACCCCCCCAGUUUGACCUCGGAUCAGGUAGGGAUACCCGCUGAACUUAAGCAUAUCAAUAAGCGGAGGA
RNAcentral lists this unclassified non-coding RNA (337 nucleotides) under soil metagenome. RNAcentral describes it as "partial contains 5.8S ribosomal RNA, internal transcribed spacer 2, and large subunit ribosomal RNA". The stretch from base 1 to 120 matches the Rfam family "5.8S ribosomal RNA", at positions 35 to 154 of the family's 154-position model. The record is from RNAcentral.